RNAcentral lists this ribosomal RNA (243 nucleotides) under uncultured Staphylococcus sp. Its description in RNAcentral is "partial 16S ribosomal RNA". It matches the Rfam family "Bacterial small subunit ribosomal RNA", at positions 96 to 334 of the family's 1533-position model. The record is from RNAcentral. Lineage: Bacteria; Bacillati; Bacillota; Bacilli; Caryophanales; Staphylococcaceae.
CGGCGGACGGGUGAGUAACACGUGGAUAACCUACCUAUAAGACUGGGAUAACUUCGGGAAACCGGAGCUAAUACCGGAUAAUAUAUUGAACCGCAUGGUUCAAUAGUGAAAGACGGUUUUGCUGUCACUUAUAGAUGGAUCCGCGCCGCAUUAGCUAGUUGGUAGGUAACGGCUUACCAAGGCAACGAUGCGUAGCCGACCUGAGAGGGUGACCGGCCACAUUGGGACUGAGAUACGGCCCAG